RNAcentral lists this long non-coding RNA (433 nucleotides) under Pongo abelii (Sumatran orangutan). Its description in RNAcentral is "lincRNA". Lineage: Eukaryota; Metazoa; Chordata; Mammalia; Primates; Hominidae. The record is from RNAcentral.
CAGCCAUGCUUCCUGUACAGCCUGUGGAAUUAUGGUCUGAGAGUACCUGUGCUGAAAUGGAAUUGUCUUUGCGCGGACACUUCUUAGAUGAGACCUAUUGUGGCCAAUAGCUCCUGAAGAACUGAAGCCUUCAGUUCAAAACUUGUGUGAGAAAAAUGAAUCUUGCCAAUUACUGGAGUGAGCUUAGAAAUAAAUCCAUCCCCAGUUGACCCUUGAAUGUAGCCUUGUCAAAGACCCAGAGACAAAGCAUCCUGCUAAUCUGCACUGGGUUCUAGGCCCACAGAAACCAUGAGAUAAUAAUUUUGUGUUGCUGUAAGCCACUAAAAACAAACAAAUAAAAUACUUUUUUAAGAUGUUCCCCUGUGGAAGGGUUCCAUUGCCAGGGAUCUGCACUUCACAACCAAAGGGAUUAAAGAAAAUUGGCUUCUUCAGA